This 406-nucleotide ribosomal RNA is filed under the name uncultured bacterium. Its description in RNAcentral is "partial 16S ribosomal RNA". It matches the Rfam family "Bacterial small subunit ribosomal RNA", at positions 29 to 526 of the family's 1533-position model. The record is from RNAcentral.
AUUGAACGCUGGCGGCAGGCCUAACACAUGCAAGUCGAACGAGUGGCGGACGGGUGAGUAAUGUCUGGGAAACUGCCCGAUGGAGGGGGAUCACUACUGGAAACGGUAGCUAAUACCGCAUACCAUCGGAUGUGCCCAGAUGGGAUUAGCUCGUAGGGGGGGUAACGGCUCACCUAGGCGACGAUCCCUAGCUGGUCUGAGAGGAUGACCAGCAAGACUGGAACGGAGACACGGUCCAGACUGCUACGGGAGGAAGCAGGGGGGAAUAUUGCACAAUGGGCGAAAGCCUGAUGCAGCCAUGCCGGGUGUAGGAAGAAGGCCUUCGGGUUGUAAAGUACUUUCAGCGGGGAGGCGUUACUCGCAGAAGAAGCACCGGCUAACUCCGUGCCAGCAGCCGCGGUAAUAC